CUAAACAAAUGCCAAACGAACUGGUCAAAGUUGAAUAUGUCACCUUAUCUUCAACCGAUUGAAUCGGUCAACACUAAAUACACUUUAUACAGAACCCCCUCUCAUUUUGAUCACAAGCGUACCCAAGAAAUCGUUCACCACCACCAUCAGAUCAUUCACCACUUCCCUCAACAUCGCUUGUUGCUGCCGGAAAAAAAAGCCAAAUCAGGUUUGCAUCUUUUUGUGCUUCCAAGAACCAAAUCACCACCACCAUGUUUUUGGAGUUAAUACACAAGCACAAACCAUUUUUUUUUGAAAAUCUCGCAUAUUCCCGCACACUCCCUCUAACCCGUCAUUUGCAUUCGUUUCUCUCUCUCUCUCUCUCCCUCCUUCUCUCUCUCUCUCACGUAUUCUUAUCAUAUUUUCUCUCCACAAAACCUACAUCUAACACAAAUCCAACGAAUCCAACUCUGUUUUUUUUAUCUUCCUUAUAGCCGAUGUUGCUUUUUGGAAUAUUUGAAGGUAGAUCCAUCAAAGACAGGUACAUUUUCUUUAGUAUAUUGUGAUUUAGGGUUUUGUUUUGUUAUGAUUUUUUAUUAAACCUAAAAAAGUGUAGGUGGAUUGAUGUGAUGAUCAGAUAUGAGUUUGGGAUUUUGAAAAGGGUAUUGACCGAAAAAAUAAAGGGAGAUCGCCAUUCAUUAAUGGUGAUUCCAAAGUUUCUAGGGAUUUUAUUGUAGGUGGUUUCCACCACCAGGUCAUCUUCUUAAUACCCAACUUGAGAAUCAAAGGCAUGCUUUAGGAACUGGCAUGGUUACUCAAGACACAUAUUUCUUUCAUGUGACUGCUCUGAAACUGUUGGUGGAUUACCAGGUCUACUUCUGAGUACUGGAAUUAGUUGGAAUUGGCUAAGAUUAGUUUACCGCUGAUGAAACCAAUGGAUUGUUGCAAGUGUUUGUUAUCUGCAUGAUUUUUUUUAAUAAAGAUGAUCGGUUGAAUGCAUUAUCAAAGUCAAAUAGCUAUGACAAGUCUCUCAAAUGCCAACACCAUAGUAUUGUUAUGCAUCAUUUUUGUGUCAGUCUAAAUGUUAUGAUAGGUUAAUAUCCUAUGUUCAGAUUCACAUGAAUGCGAAAUAGUCGUCCAUUUCCAUCUUGGUUGAGAAGUCCCAA
Molecule: non-coding RNA, 1145 nt
Organism: Lactuca sativa (garden lettuce)
Lineage: Eukaryota; Viridiplantae; Streptophyta; Magnoliopsida; Asterales; Asteraceae
Source: RefSeq, a predicted model, not a curated record